UUUCCGUAGGUGAACCUGCGGAAGGAUCAUUAAUGUAACCGGACUGUUCGGGUGCCGUAAAACGCAUCUGUUCGGAAAGGGAGAUAUCAUACACCCUAUGUUUAUUUACUUUGGUUGCUUUGGCGGGCCGUCCUUUUUGGCAUCGGCCCUGGCUGAUCGUGUCCGCCAGAGGACCUAAACUCUUCUAUCAGUGAUGUCUGAGUACUAUAUAAUAGUUAAAACUUUCAACAACGGAUCUCUUGGUUCUG
Molecule: unclassified non-coding RNA, 248 nt
Filed under: plant metagenome
Description: partial contains small subunit ribosomal RNA, internal transcribed spacer 1, and 5.8S ribosomal RNA
Source: RNAcentral